GAUGAACGCUGACAGAAUGCUUAACACAUGCAAGUCAACUUGAACUUCGGUUUGGGUGGCGGACGGGUGAGUAACGCGUAAAGAACUUGCCUCACAGUUAGGGACAACAUUUGGAAACGAAUGCUAAUACCUGAUAUUAUGAUUUUAGGGCAUCCUAGAAUUAUGAAAGCUAUAUGCGCUGUGAGAGAGCUUUGCGUCCCAUUAGCUAGUUGGAGAGGUAACGGGUCACCAAGGCGAUGAUGGGUAGCCGGCCUGAGAGGGUGAACGGCCACAAGGGGACUGAGACACGGCCCUUACUCCUACGGGAGGCAGCAGUGGGGAAUAUUGGACAAUGGACCAAGAGUCUGAUCCAGCAAUUCUGUGUGCACGAUGAAGUUUUUCGGAAUGUAAAGUGCUUUCAGUUGGGAAGAAAAAAAUGACGAUACCAACAGAAGAAGUGACGGCUAAAUACGUG
This 454-nucleotide ribosomal RNA is filed under the name uncultured bacterium. RNAcentral describes it as "partial 16S ribosomal RNA". It matches the Rfam family "Bacterial small subunit ribosomal RNA", at positions 28 to 507 of the family's 1533-position model. The record is from RNAcentral.